GAUUAGAUACCCUAUUAUUUUAAAUGUAAAUUGUUAUACUAAAGUAGUAAUAGUUAAGUUCUUUAAAUUUAAAGAUUUUGGCGGUAUUUUAGUCUAUUCAGAGGAACCUGUUCUGUGAUUGAUAAUCCACGAUUAACUUUACUUAGUUUAAUAAUUUGUAUAUCGUCGUUUAUAAAUGAUUUUAAAAGAAUUUAAAUUUUUAAGAUUUUUUAUUAAAAAAUAUAUCAGAUCAAGGUGCAGUUUAUAAUUAAGUAGAAAUGGGUUACAAUAAAUUUAUUUAUACGAAUUAAUAUAUUAAAUUAUAUUAUGAAGGAGGAUUUGAUAGUAAUAAAAUUAAAUUAAAUUUUAUGAUUUUAGCUCUAAAAUAUGUACACAUCGCCCGU
This 383-nucleotide ribosomal RNA is filed under the name Colymbetes paykulli. RNAcentral's name for it is "mitochondrial SSU rRNA". The record is from RNAcentral. Lineage: Eukaryota; Metazoa; Arthropoda; Insecta; Coleoptera; Dytiscidae.